UACGAAGGGGGCUAGCGUUGCUCGGAAUCACUGGGCGUAAAGCGCACGUAGGCGGAUUGCUAAGUCAGGGGUGAAAUCCUGGAGCUCAACUCCAGAACUGCCUUUGAUACUGGCGGUCUCGAGUCCGGGAGAGGUGAGUGGAACUGCGAGUGUAGAGGUGAAAUUCGUAGAUAUUCACAAGAACACCAGUGGCGAAGGCGGCUCACUGGCCCGAUACUGACGCUGAGGCACGAAAGCGUGGGGAGCAAACAGG
Molecule: ribosomal RNA, 253 nt
Filed under: uncultured bacterium
Lineage: Bacteria
Description: partial 16S ribosomal RNA
Rfam family: Bacterial small subunit ribosomal RNA
Source: RNAcentral